Molecule: ribosomal RNA, 445 nt
Filed under: uncultured bacterium
Lineage: Bacteria
Description: partial 16S ribosomal RNA
Rfam family: Bacterial small subunit ribosomal RNA
Source: RNAcentral
GUGAGGAAUAUUGGUCAAUGGGCGAGAGCCUGAACCAGCCAAGUCGCGUGCAGGAAGAAUGUCCUAUGGAUUGUAAACUGCUUUUGCAGGGGAAUAAAGUUCAGCACGUGUGCUGUUUUGUAUGUACUCUGCGAAUAAGGAUCGGCUAACUCCGUGCCAGCAGCCGCGGUAAUACGGAGGAUCCGAGCGUUAUCCGGAUUUAUUGGGUUUAAAGGGUGCGUAGGCGGGUUAAUAAGUCAGUGGUGAAAGUUUGCAGCUUAACUGUAAAAUUGCCGUUGAAACUGUUAAUCUGGAGUGUAGAUAAGGUAGGCGGAAUGUGUUUUGUAGCGGUGAAAUGCAUAGAUAUAACACAGAACCCCGAUUGCGAAGGCAGCUUACCGGGCUACCACUGACGCUGAUGCACGAAAGCGUGGGGAUCAAACAGGAUUAGAUACCCCGGUAGUCC